GAAAUUUCAGCCUGUCCUUUCUGGCAAAGAGAAGGGGGUGGUGAUUACUUAUCUUCACUUGUGAUGAGGAGACAAGCAAGGGUUUAUACCUUAAUAUAAAUUGAUUACAUAAUCAAAGUUUCCAUCAAGAGAGGAAGUUAUCUGUUAUGCUGCUCUAUAAAUCACUUUUGGUGUCUCACAUUUUCUUCACAUUCUACUAGGACAACUCAUAUCUCUUCAUCGCUUCAGGGAGUGUGAAUUUUUAUCCAUAAUUUCCAAUGAAGGAAACAGUAGAAUUAACCAACCUCAGAGAUGAAAGUUCAUGAAUCUCAUAAGUAAAUUAAUGCUUUGAUCUUACCAACUUUAGCAGGAUGCAUUCAAAUUGGAGAUUGUCUUUUCUGAGCUCUAUGAUAAAAGAACAUGUUUUGAAGCUGGAAGAUACCCUGCUGCUGCAGAUGUGAAGCCCCCAUUCCCUUUGAGACUCACUCAAAUCUUCCUCAGAGGACAGAGAAGUGCAGAUAACUACACACAGGAGCUUCUUUAGUAUGUGGCAGUUUAUAGCAUUGUUUGCUAUAGAAAGGUGUCAGCAGGCAGCCCCCUCCCUCUACAGUCAUCCAUUGGUUAGGUUUCCUGAUCUUUCUUGUGACUGGGGGAGCUGAAUAUUUAGCAGCAAUUAAGACUUAUGAAUGGCUUUAAUAUGUUCAGCUGCACAAGAAGUAUACAUGCCAAAGGCUAGGAAAAAAAUUCUGUGGAACCCAACUGUUUUAACUGGGUUUGUAAAUUAAGCACAGCAAGUAAGGUUAUGGAAAAAUAACACAAGAAUCAGAUGGCUGAAGUUCUUCCUGGUGAUGGGAAACUGAAAGAUCUGUGUAAGCCUUUGGUGAUUUGCUGGUUAACAUGAAUUUCCUUCUCACCACAAAUGGUAAGUAAACUUCCACUGCAUAUAGUAACAUGUAUGUCUGAGUCAACAAGCCUAGAACCUCACUACACAACUCACUAUCUAAGCUGUCCAUCAUUUAUUAUUGUUUGAAGGGCAUUUUCUAAAGAUGUAACAUUAUUUUUUUUUACUCAAAUUCUCAGAACUCUCCAAGAAUUUCCAAAGCAGAAUUCUGGGAGUUC
RNAcentral lists this long non-coding RNA (1098 nucleotides) under Pogona vitticeps (central bearded dragon). RNAcentral describes it as "lncRNA (ENSPVIG00000006771.1)". Lineage: Eukaryota; Metazoa; Chordata; Lepidosauria; Squamata; Agamidae. The record is from RNAcentral.